UGAAGGACCAGGUUUCCAAGGACAAGGCUUUCCAGACAAUGGCAACCAUGUCCUCUGCCCAGCUCAUCUCCGCGCCUUCUCUGCAGGCCAAACUGGGUCCCACUGGUCCUCAGGUGGUCCAGGCCUCUGAGCUUUUCCAGUUUUGGUCUGGAGGAUCUGGGCCCCCCUGGAAUGUUCCAGAUGUGAAGCCAUUCUCACAGACACCGUUCACCUUGUCACUGACUCCCCCGUCUACUGACCUCCCAGGGUACGAGCCCCCCCAAGCCCUCUCACCCCUGCCCCCACCUACCCCAUCGCCCCCAGCCUGGCAGGCUCGGGCCCUGGGCACCGCCCGGUUGCAGCUGGUAGAGUUCUCAGCCUUCGUGGAACCGCCAGAUGCAGUUGAUUCUGCAGCACGGGCUGGAGAUCCAGCUCACCUCCGACUUCUCACCCACGGCCAACCAUCCUCAGUACCAGAGGCACCUGUUCGUGCACAUCAGCCAGCACUGCCCCAGCCCCGGAGCGCCGCCGCUCGAGAGUGUGGACGUCCGGCAGAUCUACGACAAAUUCCCUGAGAAAAAGGGUGGCCUCCGAGAGCUAUA
RNAcentral lists this small RNA (581 nucleotides) under Pan troglodytes (chimpanzee). RNAcentral's name for it is "processed transcript". The record is from RNAcentral. Lineage: Eukaryota; Metazoa; Chordata; Mammalia; Primates; Hominidae.